GCCCAGAUGGUGGAAUUGGUAGACACGCUGGCUUGAGGGGUCAGUGGCCGUUAGGCCGUGCUGGUUCAACUCCAGUUCUGGGCA
RNAcentral lists this transfer RNA (84 nucleotides) under Pseudomonadota bacterium. RNAcentral's name for it is "tRNA-Leu". It matches the Rfam family "tRNA". Rfam says of the family: Transfer RNA (tRNA) molecules are approximately 80 nucleotides in length. Their secondary structure includes four short double-helical elements and three loops (D, anti-codon, and T loops). Further hydrogen bonds mediate the characteristic L-shaped molecular structure. tRNAs have two regions of fundamental functional importance: the anti-codon, which is responsible for specific mRNA codon recognition, and the 3' end, to which the tRNAs corresponding amino acid is attached (by aminoacyl-tRNA synthetases). tRNAs cope with the degeneracy of the genetic code in two manners: having more than one tRNA (with a specific anti-codon) for a particular amino acid; and 'wobble' base-pairing, i.e. permitting non-standard base-pairing at the 3rd anti-codon position. The record is from RNAcentral. Lineage: Bacteria; Pseudomonadati; Pseudomonadota.